GUAUCGCACCUGUAAUACAUAAACUAAAAUUGAAACGAUCAAGAGAAGAUUAAGAUGGUUCCUGCUCAAGAAUGAGACGCAAAUUCGUGAAGUGUUCCAUAAUUUU
Molecule: small nuclear RNA, 106 nt
Organism: Octopus sinensis (East Asian common octopus)
Lineage: Eukaryota; Metazoa; Mollusca; Cephalopoda; Octopoda; Octopodidae
Source: RefSeq, a predicted model, not a curated record